GGCCGAGUGGCGGAAUUGGCAGACGCACAGGACUUAAAAUCCUGUGGGCCGGAAGGCCCGUGCGGGUUCGAUCCCCGCCUCGGCUA
Molecule: transfer RNA, 86 nt
Filed under: Thermostilla marina
Lineage: Bacteria; Pseudomonadati; Planctomycetota; Planctomycetia; Pirellulales; Thermoguttaceae
Also listed under: 1 other name
Description: tRNA-Leu
Rfam family: tRNA
About the family: Transfer RNA (tRNA) molecules are approximately 80 nucleotides in length. Their secondary structure includes four short double-helical elements and three loops (D, anti-codon, and T loops). Further hydrogen bonds mediate the characteristic L-shaped molecular structure. tRNAs have two regions of fundamental functional importance: the anti-codon, which is responsible for specific mRNA codon recognition, and the 3' end, to which the tRNAs corresponding amino acid is attached (by aminoacyl-tRNA synthetases). tRNAs cope with the degeneracy of the genetic code in two manners: having more than one tRNA (with a specific anti-codon) for a particular amino acid; and 'wobble' base-pairing, i.e. permitting non-standard base-pairing at the 3rd anti-codon position.
Source: RNAcentral